AUUUACCGUCAAGCUCAUCUUGUCAGCCAACGUGUACGGUGUUAUAACCUUAAUUACCCAAAAGAUCAGAGGUGUCAUGGAAGGUUACGAAGUAAAUAGGCGUCAUGAUCGGGAGUUUUGGCGUUCACGACGAGAUUUUUUAAAGGGGUACAACUUCACUAAGAUAGAUGAUGGUUUAAAGGGAAAGAUGAAGAGGUCGAUGAAAGAAGUCAAGCGAUCAGCUAGUGGAGUGGUCGGAGGAAUUUGUGACGAUAUGACCAAAAGGAAGCUUGGAAUUAGGGUUUAUAGGCUCACAAUUGGUUUGCCAUCAAUGGUUCUUGUGAGAAUGAAAUGUUUUGUGCCAUCGUAUAGGGAGAGAGACAGUCUCUAAAUUCUAUAAAUCUCUAUAUAUUGUCAUUUUAAUUUUAAUUUUUUCUCUUG
Molecule: long non-coding RNA, 420 nt
Organism: Cucurbita pepo subsp. pepo (vegetable marrow)
Lineage: Eukaryota; Viridiplantae; Streptophyta; Magnoliopsida; Cucurbitales; Cucurbitaceae
Source: RefSeq, a predicted model, not a curated record